This 345-nucleotide unclassified non-coding RNA is filed under the name soil metagenome. RNAcentral describes it as "partial contains 5.8S ribosomal RNA, internal transcribed spacer 2, and large subunit ribosomal RNA". The stretch from base 1 to 120 matches the Rfam family "5.8S ribosomal RNA", at positions 35 to 154 of the family's 154-position model. The record is from RNAcentral.
GAUGAAGAACGCAGCGAAAUGCGAUACGUAAUGUGAAUUGCAGAAUUCAGUGAAUCAUCGAGUCUUUGAACGCACAUUGCGCCCCCUGGUAUUCCGGGGGGCAUGCCUGUCCGAGCGUCAUUGCUACCCUCAAGCACGGCUUGUGUGUUGGGCCUCCGUCCUCCUCCCGGGGGACGGGCCCGAAAGGCAGCGGCGGCACCGCGUCCGGUCCUCGAGCGUAUGGGGCUUCGUCACCCGCUCUUGUAGGCCCGGCCGGCGCUUGCCGACACAUCAAUCUUUUUUCCAGGUUGACCUCGGAUCAGGUAGGGAUACCCGCUGAACUUAAGCAUAUCAAUAAGCGGAGGA